Molecule: unclassified non-coding RNA, 268 nt
Filed under: Trichoderma harzianum
Lineage: Eukaryota; Fungi; Ascomycota; Sordariomycetes; Hypocreales; Hypocreaceae
Description: sequence contains 5.8S rRNA gene
Rfam family: 5.8S ribosomal RNA (bases 1-53)
Source: RNAcentral
GAACGCACAUUGCGCCCGCCAGUACUCUGGCGGGCAUGCCUGUCCGAGCGUCAUUUCAACCCUCGAACCCCUCCGGGGGGUCGGCGUUGGGGAUCGGCCCUCCCCUAGCGGGGGCCGUCUCCGAAAUACAGUGGCGGUCUCGCCGCGGCCUCUCCUGCGCAGUAGUUUGCACACUCGCAUCGGGAGCGCGGCGCGUCCACAGCCGUUAAACACCCAACUUUCUGAAAUGUUGACCUCGGAUCAGGUAGGAAUACCCGCUGAACUUAAG